GCUAUGUCGGUGCAGGCGGCCGCGGGAUUACGGGGGUGGAAGGCGUUUUCCGGAUUCACUGGGUUUAAAGGGUGCGUAGGUGGGCAGUUAAGUCAGUGGUGAAAUCUCCGGGCUUAACCCGGAAACUGCCGUUGAUACUAUCUGUCUGGAAUAGUGUGGAGGUAAGCGGAAUAUGUCAUGUAGCGGUGAAAUGCUUAGAUAUGACAUAGAACACCAAUUGCGAAGGCAGCUUGCUACACAGUUAUUGACACUGAGGCACGAAAGCGUGGGGAUCAAACAGGAUUAGAUACCCUGGUAGUC
This 300-nucleotide ribosomal RNA is filed under the name uncultured Natrialba sp. RNAcentral's name for it is "bacterial SSU rRNA". It matches the Rfam family "Bacterial small subunit ribosomal RNA", at positions 496 to 795 of the family's 1533-position model. The record is from RNAcentral. Lineage: Archaea; Methanobacteriati; Methanobacteriota; Halobacteria; Halobacteriales; Natrialbaceae.